ACAUCUUAGUACCCGCAGGAAAAGAAAAUAAGAAUGAUUCCCCCAGUAGUGGCGAGCGAACGGGGAAGAGCCCAAACUUCGGACGUUUCGGCGUCCGGAGGGUAGUAGGACCACGUGAACGCACGAGGAAGGCGAGCGGAAGGCGCUGGAAAGCGCCGCCACAGGGCGUGAAAGCCGCGUACGCGAAGCCAGACGAAGCGGAGUGGUAUCCUGAGUAGCGCGGGACACGAGGAAUCCUGCGUGAAUCUGCCGGGACCAUCCGGCAAGGCUAAAUACUC
This 278-nucleotide ribosomal RNA is filed under the name Phocaeicola coprophilus. RNAcentral describes it as "partial 23S ribosomal RNA". It matches the Rfam family "Bacterial large subunit ribosomal RNA", at positions 198 to 475 of the family's 2925-position model. Lineage: Bacteria; Pseudomonadati; Bacteroidota; Bacteroidia; Bacteroidales; Bacteroidaceae. The record is from RNAcentral.